UGUAGGCUGCAACUCGCCUACAUGAAGUCGGAAUUGCUAGUAAUCGCGGAUCAGCAUGCCGCGGUGAAUACGUUCCGGCCUUGUACACACCGCCCGUCACACCAUGGGAGUCGGUAACACCCGAAGCCUGUAGUCUAACCGCAAGGAGGACGCAGUCGAAGGUGGGAUUGAUGACUGGGGUGAAGUCGUAACAAGGUAAC
Molecule: ribosomal RNA, 200 nt
Filed under: uncultured bacterium
Lineage: Bacteria
Description: partial 16S ribosomal RNA
Rfam family: Bacterial small subunit ribosomal RNA
Source: RNAcentral